UACGAAGGGGGCUAGCGUUGCUCGGAAUCACUGGGCGUAAAGCGCGCGUAGGUGGUUCGUUAAGUUGGAUGUGAAAUCCCCGGGCUCAACCUGGGAACUGCAUUCAAAACUGUCGAGCUAGAGUAUGGUAGAGGGUGGUGGAAUUUCCUGUGUAGCGGUGAAAUGCGUAGAUAUCAAGAGGAACACCUGAGGUGAAGACGGGUUGCUGGGCUGACACUGACGCUGAAGCGCGAAAGCUAGGGGAGCAAACGGG
RNAcentral lists this ribosomal RNA (253 nucleotides) under uncultured bacterium. Its description in RNAcentral is "partial 16S ribosomal RNA". It matches the Rfam family "Bacterial small subunit ribosomal RNA", at positions 524 to 776 of the family's 1533-position model. The record is from RNAcentral.